GUCCGUAGUCCCAGCUACUUGAGAGAUUGAGGUGAGAGGAUCAUUUGAGCCCAGGAGGUCAAGGCUGUAGUGAGCUGUGAUCACACCAGCACUUCAGCCAAGGUGACAGACUGAGACCCUGCCUCUAUUAAAAAAAACUAAUUGGUUAAAAUAAAUCUGAAUAUAUCAAAUACUCACUAAAUUAGGCAGAGGAGUAUAAAAGUUGCAACAUAAUCUAUCUUUAAUUUACAAAAAACCUUUGUCUGGAAUAAAUGUAAUUAUGUUAACAUAAAGCCAUGCAUUGACAUUAUGUUCUUCCUGUGGUUGCUUUUUGACAGAGUAUUCUAGCUGCCUCCGCCUUUGAGACAGAGCAGGAAGAACCUGUGGAUGGUGGGAUUCCCUCUUCUUGGAGAAGGGGAUGAGCAUUUCCCGCUGCCCUCCUGACACGCCCGUGGCUGUCUGCCUUGCUCUGUACCUCCAGACUUCAUGGAAAGCAUGCUCGACCUUUGACUUCUGGAAAUCCUUGAAUGAAGCACAAAAGGGAUUGGUCCUUGCCUGGUGUGAAGCACAGCUGAGCCAAAGGAGGAAGCAAUAUUGCAAUGGACUCUGUCUUUGACAUCACUACUUUGCAAAUUUGUUACCACUAUGGUCAAAUUUUUAUAUUCACUCUUACAUUUUAACUCAUUCUGCUCAUUAUAUUCAAUGCAACAUCUGCACUAAAAGAUACUCAGGCAUUAAUUUAUGCUUUUCUGUUUACAAAUGAGAAUUCAUAAGCAAAUUGAGGUAGCAAUUAGAUAUUUUUUAAAAUCGAAGACAAAACAGAAGACACAUACACACACAUCAGUGGAACACAACAGAGAGCCCAGAAACAGACUGAAAUACAGCCGACUAAUCUCUGACAAAGGAGCAAAAGCAAUUCAAUGGAGAAAGGAGAGUCUUUUUAACAAAUGGUGCCGGAACAAGUGGGCAUCCAUAUGCAAAAAAGAAAAAAAAAAAGAAUCUAAAAACAGACCUUAUACUUCUUACAAAAAUUAAUGCAAAGUAGAUAUUAGACCAAUAUAUAAAAUGUAAAAUUUUCAAACUUCUAGAAGAUAACAUAAGGAAAAAAUCUAGUUAACUUUGGAUUUGGUGACUUUUUAAAGAUACAACACCAAAAGCAUGAUCCACGAAGACAAAAAUUGGUAAGCUGAAUUUCAUUAACAUGAAAAACUUUUGUUUUGCAAAAGAUACCAUUAAGAGAAUAAAAAGACAAAUCCCAAACUGUGAGAAAAUAUUUGCAAAAUAUAUCUAAGGAUUCGUAUCUGAAAUAUGCAAAGAACUGUUAAAACUCAACAAGAGGAAAACAAACAACCCAAUUAAAAAUGGGCAAAAGCUGAACAGAUAUGCAGAUGGAAACUAACUAUAUGAAAAGAUGCUCUGUAUGUUAUUAGGAACUGCCAAUUAAGACAACAAUAAGACACCACUACACACCUAUUAGAAUGGCCAAAAUCCACAAGUCUGAAAACACCAAAUGCUGGUGAGGAUGUGAAGCAACAAGAACUCUCAUUCAUUGCUGUGGGAAUGCAAAAUGGCACAGCCACUUUGGAAGACAGUUUGGCAGUUUUUUACAAAGCUCACAUAGUCUUAUUAUAAGAUUUAGCAAUUGUGCUCUUCAUUAUUUACCCAGUGGAGUUGAAGAGUUAUGUCCACACACAAACUUGCACACAAAUGUUUAUAAAAGCUUUAUUCAGGAUUACCAGAAACUGGAGGUGAUCAACAUGUCCUUCAGUAGGUGAAUGGAGAAAUAAAUUCUGAUAUCUACAGACAAUGGAAUAUCAUUCAGUGAGAAAAGACCUAUCAAGUCAUGAAAAGGCAUACCGGGACCCAAAAUGCACAUUACUAACGAAAAAAGCCAAAAAGGCUACAUACUGUAUGAUUCCAAUUAUGUGACAUUUUGGAAAAGGGAAAAUUACACAGAUAGUAAAAUGAUCGGUGGUUGGUAGGGGUUGAGGAGAGGGAAGGAUAGAUGGUCAGAGAGUUCCGGAUGUUUAGGGCAGUGAGACCAUUGUGUGCGAUUUCACCACAACGGUGGACCCACGACAGUGUGCAGAUGCCAAACCCAUUGAAUGCAGACCACAAAAAGAUAAUAAUUACAUAAACUAUGAACUUUCAUAAUGAAAUAAAUCAUGUUUUAAAAAAGUAGACAGCUUUGUUCAGUUACUGUCUACUUUUUGAAAUGGAGAGGGUGGGAUGCUUACAUGGUUGUGAGGAUAAAAAUAGCUUAGAGAAUGUAAUAACUAAAACAGGUGUGUAAACAUUGUUAAACUCUUUUAUCCUCAUUAAAAAACAUUGCUUAAAUAUAUUUGUAAUUUUUUACAACUGAGCGAGUAGUGCAAACACAUUAACAUAAUUCUCCUCUAGCUCCGCUCAGAAGUCAGGCUUCAGUGCAGGACCACAUGGCUCCAAGUGCACCUGCCAAAUGCAACAACCUCUUUCAACGUCAUUAAAAUAUUUCAAUAGGAGGCUUGAUUUUAGACUCAACCUGUGUUUUCUCCCCUGGAAAAUGAAGGUUUUAUGAAACAAAGAAGGUCUUUACCAUUCUCAUCCAAAAUGCUGAGACAUCUGUGAUGUCUGCUGUAAGUGCCACCAGGCUCUCCUCUGAAAUCUCACAACGGGAAAAUAGAGACUGUCAAUUCUGCUUUUAGAAAGGGGAGAAUCAGAUCUAAUGUCGAAAUGCCAUGUCCUCAUUCAUACACAUCUUCUUUUACAAAUUCCACAGGUUUAGUUACUUUGGGAUUAAUAUGGGCCUAUUUUAAAGUGCAUUUAUUAAUUUAGCAUGAAAUGUCCAAAUGCAUUCUGGAUCCUGAGCUGACAUCCAGCAAUGCUGAGUGUGCGCCUGUGUGAGUCACCAGCCCUGAUGAGCCUCAGGUUAUUGUAUUCAUAAAAUGAAGGGGCUUAGGCUUGCUCCGAUUUUUUUAAAACCAUUUUUAACAGUAAAAACUUGUUUCUUGUUACAUAAAAAUGUACAAGAAAAACCCAAACAUUACAAAUGAUAAAUUAUAAUUUUAUUAAUAUAAAUAUUUUGUGAGCUCAAUUUAUAGGACUUAGUUAUUAUAAAAGAAAUAAGCAACAUGAGGUGGCCAUACUUUCCUAUUUUGUUCACAUGCUAUUGAUAAAUCUUGAUGUACACAGAAAAUUAGUUUCAAAGAAUAAUAAUUUUAAAAAUCUUGACUUGUAAUUUCAAGGGACUUUAAAAAAAUUCCUGCAAUUUCUCUUUAAAGGUUCUAGAACAGUUUUCUAUGUCUUAAAGCUAAAUAAUCACAAAGAACUAACUGUUCUCACAUUCUGUAUUAUAAAUAUGUAAGUCAGAAAAGGAACAGACAAAAGAAUAAAAACACAUGCGUGAACAAAUGGGCCUUGGUUUACAUUGAAUUGGAUCUGGCAAUGAACAUGGGUUAUAGUAGUAUUUUUGUGUGUAAUUUUACACGAGUGGACUGUUGACAAAAUAAAAAUUGUCUGCAAUCACUAUUUGGUGGUAUAUUUGCACAAAUGGUAAACAUAUACAUAGAGGUCGUGGGAGAAAUUUAUUUCAUGGCUUACCAGAAGACAGGUUAAGUUGGGA
This 3580-nucleotide long non-coding RNA is filed under the name Homo sapiens (human). Its description in RNAcentral is "HSALNT0025655". The record is from RNAcentral. Lineage: Eukaryota; Metazoa; Chordata; Mammalia; Primates; Hominidae.